GCAUCCCUAGCUCAAUUGGCAGAGCAGGGGCCUCUUAAGCCCAAGGUUCUGGGUUCAAUCCCCAGGGGAUGCACCA
Molecule: transfer RNA, 76 nt
Filed under: Candidatus Portnoyibacteriota bacterium
Lineage: Bacteria; Candidatus Portnoyibacteriota
Also listed under: 1 other name
Description: tRNA-Lys
Rfam family: tRNA
About the family: Transfer RNA (tRNA) molecules are approximately 80 nucleotides in length. Their secondary structure includes four short double-helical elements and three loops (D, anti-codon, and T loops).
Source: RNAcentral